AAUAAAAGAACUUUUAAAAUCUAAAAUGAAUUUUGGAGCAGCCGAGGCUGAGAGAUGUUCUUUUUCAGGAAGCCCAGAAAGAAGAAUGUUACAAUGAUCGAUUCUGCAGGAUGGAUAGCCCAUUGUUUCAAAAAAUAUUCGGUCUGAUGGAAUUAUUCAACUCAUAUGCUAAAAAGGAUAAUCAUGGUUGCACGAUGUCAAAGAGCGAGGUCAAGACUUUGGUGAACGAACAACUGGGCUUCCUUAAGCCAGGAGAAAGGGAGAAAGUGAAUAACGAAGACCUGGACAAGCUGAUAGCAACAUGGGAUCUUGAUGGAGACGGCACAGUUAACUUUGAGGAAUUUAUGACUAUGGUGGCUUGUCUUUCCGUGGUCCUGAAAGAGGUGUUUGAUCCUGCUUGUUGCAGCUAGAUACUUGUGUGUCAAAGUGCUGAACACUGCGACCACACCCGGAGGUGUGGCCAUGCUUUCCACAGAGAGAUACAGUCCCUGUUGUAAAUCUAAAUAUUUGUUCAACAUCUGAAUAAACUGAUUUACUUUACACUCA
Long non-coding RNA from Notolabrus celidotus (New Zealand spotty), 546 nucleotides. RefSeq lists it as uncharacterized. The record is from RefSeq and is a predicted model, not a curated record. The transcript has 3 exons. Lineage: Eukaryota; Metazoa; Chordata; Actinopteri; Labriformes; Labridae.